This 685-nucleotide long non-coding RNA is filed under the name Olea europaea subsp. europaea. The record is from RNAcentral. Lineage: Eukaryota; Viridiplantae; Streptophyta; Magnoliopsida; Lamiales; Oleaceae.
CAAACCAAAUGUCCAAUCCCAUGAACUAGGGAUAUACCAAACCAAAUGCAAAGAAGAAGACGAAGCAGAAAAGAGGGGGGGGAGACCAAAUCAUCAAAUCCAGAUGAUCACCAAACGAAUUCGAAAAAGAAUAUCAUAGAGGAGAAAAACCAAUUCUUGAUAAACCAACCAAGGAGAAAGAAUCAGAAGAAAUGAGUGACCCAAAUAAAACCAAGCCCAACAGAACAAAAAACCCAAACAAAGACUAGUCCAACAUUACCAAAAUAAAGUGUUGGCAAUCUACAGCCCAUAUUUAUCACUCCACAAAGGAACUUGAUUGCUGUCCAAAAAAUAGCCCAAACUAACAAAACAACCCAAUUAAUCUGGCAAGAAACUACCGACACAGGUCCACCAAGAAAUCAGCCAACAAAAAGACGGCCCAAUUAAAAACAACGUCAGUAACCCAGUAGGAACUAACAAAUGAAGGCCCAAAAAUAUCAUUAGACCGGCCCAAUAAUAAACUGACCCACAGCCCUUCAUCAAUUAACUUAGUCCAAUUACACCGGUGACCUGCCGAUUAAAAUCAGCCCAUCUUCUUUCACACAGUGCGCUGUGUGCAAUAUUAGCGCUUGAUUAAUUUCAAAAACAAGGUCUCUUCUCAACUUUCGGCUAUGAAUAAACUAAUUAAAUAGUUAACAAACUUCAG